RNAcentral lists this non-coding RNA (21 nucleotides) under Caenorhabditis elegans. The record is from RNAcentral. Lineage: Eukaryota; Metazoa; Nematoda; Chromadorea; Rhabditida; Rhabditidae.
UGAACAGUGAUUUUUCAGGAC